ACUCAAAGGAAUAGACGGGGGCUCACACAAGCGGUGGAGCAUGUGGUUCAAUUCGAAGCAACGCGAAGAACCUUACCCGGGUUUGAAAUCCACGGAUGAGGCCUGCGAAAGCGGGAUUCUCUGCCCGCAAGGGUGAAACGUGGACAGGUGUUGCAUGGCUGUCGUCAGCUCGUGUCGUGAGAUGUCGGGUUAAGUCCCUCAACGAGCGAAACCCUUGUCUCUAGUUGCCAACGGUUCGGCCGGGGACUCUAGAGAGACUGCCGUUGUGAAAACGGAGGAAGGUGGGGAUGACGUCAAGUCAUCAUGGCCUUUAUGUCCGGGGCUACACACGUGCUACAAUGGCCGGUACAAAGGGAUGCUAAGCCGCGAGGUAGAGCAAAACCCAGAAAGCCGGCCCCAGUUCAGAUUGGAGGCUGCAACCCGCCUCCAUGAAGACGGAAUCGCUAGUAAUCGCGGAUCAGCUACGCCGCGGUGAAUAUGUUCCUGGGCCUUGUACACACCGCCCGU
Molecule: ribosomal RNA, 507 nt
Filed under: uncultured bacterium
Lineage: Bacteria
Description: partial 16S ribosomal RNA
Rfam family: Bacterial small subunit ribosomal RNA
Source: RNAcentral